RNAcentral lists this transfer RNA (782 nucleotides) under Bradyrhizobium japonicum. RNAcentral describes it as "partial contains 16S-23S ribosomal RNA intergenic spacer and 23S ribosomal RNA". The stretch from base 150 to 223 matches the Rfam family "tRNA". The record is from RNAcentral. RNAcentral also lists the same sequence under 1 other name. Lineage: Bacteria; Pseudomonadati; Pseudomonadota; Alphaproteobacteria; Hyphomicrobiales; Nitrobacteraceae.
CGUUUUAGAAACAUCAGUGGCCAACGAUCGUCAGGAUUGUUGAGCUGCAUUGGCGGGAUUUCGCCGUCUUCGUUUCUCUUUCUUCGCGGACGAACACGCGCUGGGCCUGCGAGAGCAGGGUCCCUGGUCCUUGACGGGAUAUGCGUUAGGGGCUUGUAGCUCAGUUGGUUAGAGCGCGCGCUUGAUAAGCGUGAGGUCGGAAGUUCAAGUCUUCCCAGGCCCACCACACUCAUCGGGUAAGCAUUCGUCUUCUGGUUACGGGGCCAUAGCUCAGCUGGGAGAGCGCGUGCUUUGCAAGCAUGAGGUCGUCGGUUCGAUCCCGUCUGGCUCCACCAGAUGGUUUGAUCACCGAGGCUGUGUUUGCAGGUAUUCAACCGUCGUCCGCGAAACAUCACUUCGCACCUGCUAGUCUGGAUAGACAGUGAGGUUGCGUGAUUUCUGACAUCGUAAAGAGGAGAUCGAUCCGAGUUGGAUCGGGCAGCAAGCAAUUGCUGCGCGAACCUUCAUUAUCUCCGGAUCAUUUCGGCGCUCGCGCGCCUUUCAAUGCGGCUCACAAGGCUGCGUCUGAAGGGAAUGCGGGUUGUAAAUGAUCCUUUUAGCGAAGCUUGACCGCCUCGCUAUCGGAACGAUCUUACGAAGCAAGCUGGUCUUUCUAAUCAUUGUCCGGCUGUACGUAGCGUUCAUCGAGGGCGCGUGCCGUAAGGCAAUCGUACAGACAACAUUCUGCCGAGUGUGUGGACAUUGAUAAUGAGAGCAAUCAAGUGCCUUAAGGGUGUUCGGUG